Molecule: ribosomal RNA, 300 nt
Filed under: uncultured Desulfurococcus sp.
Lineage: Archaea; Thermoproteati; Thermoproteota; Thermoprotei; Desulfurococcales; Desulfurococcaceae
Description: partial 16S ribosomal RNA
Rfam family: Bacterial small subunit ribosomal RNA
Source: RNAcentral
GUGCACUGCGGGCCAGGAGCGGUGGGAGUAGGGGGGGUGCAAGCGUUAAUAGUAAUUACGGGGCGUAAAGCGGGGGCAGGCGGUUGUGUAAGACAGGUGUGAAAUCCCCGGGCUUAACCUGGGAAUUGCAUUUGUGACUGCACGACUAGAGUGUGUCAGAGGGGGGUGGAAUUCCACGUGUAGCAGUGAAAUGCGUAGAUAUGUGGAGGAACACCAAUGGCGAAGGCAGCCCCCUGGGAUAACACUGACGCUCAUGCACGAAAGCGUGGGGAGCAAACAGGAUUAGAUACCCCUGUAGUC